AUUAAGAGACAGAGCAUUUCCCUUUGGGACUUACUCAUGUCCACCCACACUAUGUGAACCGUUCCUGUCCCUGGCAGUUUUGCCUUUCGCUCAACUGUUCUAGCUUUCGGGCUAGGGCACUCCUCUUACCUCCUAAAAUGGGUAAUAAGGGGUUGAGCUGGAAGGGGCUGCCGAUGGGCUUUUGCUCAUCACUCUUUUAAACUCUGCUAUAUAACUGUAAAUGUCUGAACAUCUUUUCAUAUUUUAAAUGUGAAAA
This 256-nucleotide unclassified non-coding RNA is filed under the name uncultured Oedogoniomyces. RNAcentral's name for it is "sequence contains ITS1". Lineage: Eukaryota; Fungi; Monoblepharomycota; Monoblepharidomycetes; Monoblepharidales; Oedogoniomycetaceae. The record is from RNAcentral.